This is a long non-coding RNA of Mus musculus (house mouse), 1646 nucleotides long. RefSeq annotates it as predicted gene, 34250. The record is from RefSeq and is a predicted model, not a curated record. The transcript has 3 exons. Lineage: Eukaryota; Metazoa; Chordata; Mammalia; Rodentia; Muridae.
UCCUAGUCACAUACAAAAGCCUUCCACCGUUGGUCCAUUUGUGUGUUGUGUGUAUAUGCACACGUGUGUAUGCAGGACCCCAUGUGACUAUGAGUCCACGUGUGUGCUGUGUGUGAAAGCCACAGAUCGUCUUCAGGUGGUGGGGCCACCUACCUUGUUUUCUUGUUUUGUGAGACAGGAUCUUUCUGUGUGCGGGCUGGAGACCCUCCUUAUGCUAGGCGGGCAGGCCAGUGAGCUCCAGCAAGGCAUCGCAUCUGUCUCCCCUGCCCUGCGAUGGGAAGGAUACACUGCCAUUUCCACGUGGGUUCUGUGAAUUGGACUUAGGUGCACGCGUGUGUGUGUGUGUGUGUGUGUGUGUGUGUGCACUCGCGUGCUUACAAAUGUGUGUGUUCAUCCUCUGUACAUGUGGCGGGACCAGAGGCUACUACCAGGAAUCUUUCCACCUUAGUCAAGGAGACAAGGUCUCUCUACACUAAGAGAUCACCAGUAUGGCUGAUCCUGCCAGCCAGCUUUCUCCAGGGUCUCCACCUCCAUUUCCCAAGGUCAGAAUUGCAUGCAGGCCUCCAUGUCCACACAGGGGUUUCUGGGAAUUCCAAUCCUCACACUUGUGUGGCAAGUUCUUUUAAGCACCGAGCCAUCUCCCCAGACCGGUAAAUUUUCAAAACCAUUUUAGCAAAGAGGAGGGCCACACAGUCUGCAGCGGAGGAUUGUUUCACAAGAUUUGAUUCAUAAAGCACUCGACAUCAUAAAACAAACAAGCCCACAGAUACAGAAUGAAGGAUAUGGAAAGGGGAGGCCUCAGCCUCCAGUGACAGCAGGAGAGGCCUCCCCUGGCUGGUGACUUGUUAGAACAAUGGUUAGCUGCAGCACUUUCCUGCCUCUUGCGAUCUCAAGUCAACAGGACAGAGACCAACAAGAAAGACAGGACCAGCUGUACAAUAGGGACUUCUCAUCAGGAAUGUAACAUAGGGAGACCUUUUGGCCUCAGUGGACACUAUUCCUUGGCUUUUUGUGGGGCCGCGGCACCGGGUGUAGUCUAGACCUGCUCUGAGAGACUGGAGGAGGCUGCUGAUGUUGUAGAUGACACAAGACGCAGCUGCUGAGCAACCCUUCUGUGCUUAGCAGAGAAAACUCCCAGGUGGCUGAGGCAUCGUCUUUGUGACUCACUGCAAACGCUGCCUCUUUGGAAGGAAGGAGGAACAAUUUCUCUGAAUUCCAGGACCUCACACUGCUAAGGCUUCUCCUGAGCUCCAUGCUCUCCGUCCAGCCUCUCUCUCUCCCAAUUGCUGAAGACGACCUGUGCACCACAGCAGCUUCUAAGAGGCGAUUAUUUCAUUGUUUUCUGAGAAACACCCCACCCCAAUACACCAGUCUUUUUUUCUACAAGGGAAGUUAUUGGCUUCUGGAGUGUUCUGAUUUGUAAUCACUAAACAUCUGUGCCCUUCCCUAUCAGAUUUUAACUUAAAAUUCACUCCUUUGCUUUUUUAAAGAACUAAGUUCUUCCUAUUGUUCCCAAGAAAAUGCUUUUAAGUAAUUCAGGCUGGGGAUAUAGCUCAACAGAGGAGUACUUGCCUAGCUUAAGCAAAGCCCUGGAUUGAUCUCCAGUAUACAUGCACACACCACACUCAGAUACACACACACACCAC